Gorilla gorilla gorilla (western lowland gorilla) is the source of this 2080-nucleotide long non-coding RNA. RefSeq lists it as uncharacterized. The transcript is spliced from 4 exons. Lineage: Eukaryota; Metazoa; Chordata; Mammalia; Primates; Hominidae. The record is from RefSeq and is a predicted model, not a curated record.
GUCAGUGGCAACUUGGUCGGGUCUGCUUCUGCGCUGUGGAGGCUUUGUUUUUUACUCUUUGCAGUAAAUCUUGCUGCUGCUCACUCUUUGGGUCCGCACUGCUUUUGUGAGCUGUAACACUCACGGAGAAGGUCUGCAGCUUCAUUUCUGCGCCAGUGAGACCACCAGCCCGCCAGGAGGAAGAAACGCCGAACACAGCCGAACAUCAGAGGGAACAAACUCCUAACACGCUGCCUUUAAGAACUGUAACACCUCGAGGGUCCGCGGCUUCAUUCUUGAAGUCGCAGAGACCAAGAACUCACCAAUUCCGGACACAAAUGCAUCAUUGCACUCCAGCCUGGGUGACAGAGUGAAACCCUGUCUCAAAAAUAAGCUUCCAUUGACGGCCAGCUUUGGCUGUUCCAACUCACCACAGCCUCUGAAAGACCCAUGCUCUCUUUGGAUUGCUUCGUACCUGCAGCACGUUUCCAUGCCUGGGAGGUAAGGACCACAAGUCUCAGAAGAGUAGGAAGUGCCCAGCAUCACACAGGAAGCAAGUUACAGAACCAAGGGCUCUGUUCGUAAACUCUUCAACAUCUUUUAUCACAUAAGGGCUCAUAGGUCCAACUAACUGAAAGCCUCAAUUUGUGGGAAGAAGAGAAGCGAGGCUGGGGACACAGCACAAACGGUGUUUACGCCACUGAAGUUCUUUUGAAAUGGAAAGGCUCUGCAUGAAGAAGCGAACAGUUAUGCCACUGCCUCGCCAAUUCCAGUGAGGAGCUCAUCUUCAAUGUAGUGUUCAACGUAGGUGGCAAAACUGUAAUUUUUCCCUUUUUUGAAACUAUUUUUUCUUCUUUUAUUUUUGAAAUUCUCAUCUAAGCGACAGUUUCUUGUACUAUAGUGACUCCUGCUGGGAGAGGUAAGUUGAAGUAGCUGAAGGUCUCUUACAGAUAUAUCAACUCCCGGCCAGUAAAAAAGAUGUCCUAAACGCAGGAGAUGGAGUUAAACUGUUCCCCUACCUUGGACGCAAUGGCUUCUUUCAUCACUAAGAACAAACCCCUAGGUUUUACAAUUGAGACUGAGAAACUAGUACAGUACUUGUACAAUUUUUGAUCUACAGCAUCACGACGUGAAGCUGCAACAAUUAGAUGUAAAGGGUCCAUUCAUGAGGAAUAACAUCACUUUGACCCUUUGUGUUAGCUCCUACUGCUAAUCUUUCCAUAAGCGUGAACUUACUUUCAAUUUGAAGAAGAUGAAAAAGUCUUUUGCAAAACCCCAAUACUGUUUUCUGAUCUAUGUACCUGAAUGGAGAAACGUAGUCUUACCUCGUUUUUUUCCACUACAAGCCAAGCUACUUGUAAUCCUUCCAAACCUUUAAAGGGGACCUCCCUUGUUAGCAUCUCCCAGAGAACCUGGAACAAAAAGAAAAUGGAAUUUUUAUUCUUGUACUUUAUAUUUUUUGGUACAUAUUACUGAAACUUUAUCUAACAUGUAAUUGUAUCUAAUUACCAGACACAACCAACCCCAACUGUGGAAACUGGGGCAAAACAAUUAAGCACACAACUUCUUCCAUAUAUUAAAUACUUUUUACGUUCUUUUUUAUAAAGAAAAAACCUGGUUUAGAAAUUAGGACAUCUAGAGCCAGACUUAAAAUUUUAUGAAACCAAUGGGCCUGACUGAUUUAAUGUCAUCUCAUAAAUUAUCAGAAUUUUUAUGUUCUCACAAAUUAGAUUGUGUAUUUUGUUAGUUAAAACUCUUUCUACCUUCAAUUUCUGAUACAUUUGUCUAGGAAAUAAUAACUGGGAAUUCAACAAUAUUUUAAAAGGUUCAAUAAUGGUCUCAUCAAAAAUAACUGAGCCCCAAAUCCAAAUCACUGGCUAACCUACCUACCCCACAAUGGUAGAUACUUGCAAAAUUGUAAUAUUUAGAUUUUACAUGUUACAUUUUAGAUUUUGGAGAAAUCUCCCUCAAAAUGAGUCGGUCUAAGGGAUCUAUUUUCAUCUACCUACAAUAUAAUCUAUUAUACCAUACUCUAAGAUGUAAUAAAUACUUUCUAUACAUAUAAGCUGACUAUGUGAAAGUGAGCUUAUGUGUGUGUUCA